ACUCUCUUAUCACAGCUCAUCCUGUGUCUCCUUACAGAGGGAGUCCAGCCUCACACAGGAGCAAGAGAGGACCGGAGCAACGAGCUGACGACUGCAGUCUCUGAAGAUGAAGUGACCUACAGCACAGUGUUCACCAACACACAGUCAUCAUCACACAGAAUAAGUCCACAUCAGUCACAGGUUGGGUAUUGGUUGGAUUUCCAUACAUUUGUAAAGUGCCUUUGCAGAGAAUCGUACUGUUAUUAUUCAGUCUCAUCUCAUCCUACAUAUCUUUAGAGAUCCUGUAUUUCUUUAAAAUCAUUCUUUAUUUCUUUACAGUACAAAUAGUUUGAUUGGCAAAUAUUACACUUGAUUAUAAGAGAUGAUUAAUGCGCCUUUGUGCCUCUGUGGCGAUACCACUUUUCUGUACUCCUGAGAGUAACUGAUAUUCUCCACUCUUCACCACUCUGGAAAAGAGCGUCUGUAAAUGAUUGUCAUGUGAUGUAAUGUAAACUCAAAACAGGAAGUCAAUGAGCUCACAGGCACUAAAUGCUCUCAAACAGCUUUGAAAAAAAUCAUUCAUUUUGAGGGAAAAUGGUCCAGAAUGUUUACGAGUGAGUUCAUUUAGUGUGCUCUCCUCUGCUCUGGUAGCACGGACAGGGUUGGUGUCAGUUCUACUUUCUGUUCAGUCAGGCAAUGACAUUAAAUUCAUUCAUUAAAAAAAAAAAAAUGUGAUUAAAUGGUUUAUGUAUCGAUUCAUUGGAUAAUCCUCAAUGGGGCAUUUUUCACAAAAUGAACUUUGACUGAAUUAACUGAAUUAACUUCAGCAGACCCCCCAACCGUGGUCAGUCACAGAAACAUGUUCCCCUUUACUGUCCCAGCCGUCUGAAAACCCUGCAGAUGAGGUCCUGUACAGCUCAAUCAUCCUGAAAAAUCUACAGACCACACACUCGUCUCACCGUUCUGCAGCAGAUAGAGCCGGUGAUGUGAUUUACAGCUCAGUUGCCGGGCAGAAAACACAGUAGGGGGCAGCAACGUGACGAAAGACUACAUCCCAAGUGGAAUUUUGUCCACAAGCUCAAAGGAAGAGGCCUGGGUGUUCUGGAACCUGAGGAUUCCUAUUUCAGAGCAUCAAAUACAGCCAGUCACCCCAUUACAAAUAUUUGACUCUGCUUUUCCCUGCUGGACAAAAAAAGACACCAUCAUUUUCCUAACUUGAAAAGGAACCAUUUUCUCAAAGAUUAGGUCACAGUAAAACUCAAGACUCAAGACCAGUCAUCAGAAAAUGUACUGCAGCUAAAAUUUCAGAUGUCGUAAAAGGUUAAUUAUGUAAUUAAGGCCAGAAGUUGGUAUGAAAUCCAGAAAUGGAUAUGGCGCUCUUUGCCCACCUCUGGAAUACAUAAAUAUUAAAUAAUAAUAAUAGUUAUCCUGCUCUGGCCACUGAGAGAGCACAGACUACAGAGUACGAGGGACCAAAGAGGUGGGGACUGAGAGGAACAGGAAGUGAGACUCACGCUAAAGGGAGCUGGAGUCUCUAACAGACACACACACCCGUCAGGCACAUAUGGCUCUCACUCUGAUACUCUUCCUCUCCAUCCUCUUCCUCACUGUGCUGCCAGGUAGGACUCGUUGCUCACACUGUAUACUGAAAUCUGGAGCAUUGUAGCAGAGAGACUGUCUGUGCCAUAAACUUGAAUGAAUGAGUUAAACUGAAGAUUGUAGUUUGCAUCUUACAUAAUAGGACUAAUGUGAUUAGAAUACACUCAGUGAGCACUUUAUUAGGAAGACCUGUACACCAGCUUUUUAAUGCAAAUAUUAAAUUAGCCAAUCUCAUGUGGCAGCAACUAGAUGCAUCUGUUGUCAAGGUUCAGCUGUUUCUCAAAGAAAAUGUCAGAAUGAGGAAGAAAUGUUGGUGCCAGACAGAGUGGCUUGA
Long non-coding RNA from Conger conger (European conger), 1912 nucleotides. RefSeq lists it as uncharacterized. The transcript has 4 exons. The record is from RefSeq and is a predicted model, not a curated record. NCBI's taxonomy places the organism in Eukaryota, Metazoa, Chordata, Actinopteri, Anguilliformes, Congridae.